UACGAAGGGGGCUAGCGUUGCUCGGAAUUACUGGGCGUAAAGCGCACGUAGGCGGUUUGGUAAGUCGGGUGUGGAAUCUCCACGCUCAACGUGGAGGGGCCACUCGAUACUGCCAUGACUCGAGUCCGGUAGAGGAGUGUGGAAUUCCCGGUGUAGCGGUGAAAUGCGCAGAUAUCGGGAGGAACACCCGUAGCGAAGGCGGCACUCUGGGCCGGAACUGACGCUGAGGAGCGAAAGCCAGGGGAGCAAACGGG
Molecule: ribosomal RNA, 254 nt
Filed under: uncultured bacterium
Lineage: Bacteria
Description: partial 16S ribosomal RNA
Rfam family: Bacterial small subunit ribosomal RNA
Source: RNAcentral